This 475-nucleotide ribosomal RNA is filed under the name Serratia marcescens. RNAcentral describes it as "bacterial SSU rRNA". It matches the Rfam family "Bacterial small subunit ribosomal RNA", at positions 1 to 476 of the family's 1533-position model. Lineage: Bacteria; Pseudomonadati; Pseudomonadota; Gammaproteobacteria; Enterobacterales; Yersiniaceae. The record is from RNAcentral.
UGAGUUUGAUCCCCCUGGCUCAGAUUGAACGCUGGCGGCAGGCUUAACACAUGCAAGUCGAGCGGUAGCACAGGGGAGCUUGCUCCCUGGGUGACGAGCGGCGGACGGGUGAGUAAUGUCUGGGAAACUGCCUGAUGGAGGGGGAUAACUACUGGAAACGGUAGCUAAUACCGCAUAACGUCGCAAGACCAAAGAGGGGGACCUUCGGGCCUCUUGCCAUCAGAUGUGCCCAGAUGGGAUUAGCUAGUAGGUGGGGUAAUGGCUCACCUAGGCGACGAUCCCUAGCUGGUCUGAGAGGAUGACCAGCCACACUGGAACUGAGACACGGUCCAGACUCCUACGGGAGGCAGCAGUGGGGAAUAUUGCACAAUGGGCGCAAGCCUGAUGCAGCCAUGCCGCGUGUGUGAAGAAGGCCUUCGGGUUGUAAAGCACUUUCAGCGAGGAGGAAGGUGGUGAGCUUAAUACGCUCAUCAAU